AGCUCUCUAAGUGUCAGUGAAAAUGCAGCCAUCUAAGCAUGUGGGAGUGUUUUACGUGUUUGCGCAUACGAGAGUAAAGGGUUCUGAGUCGAGAGUGCGGCUGAAAGCCUCAAACUAUCGGAGCUCCAUUAGCUCCACCGGGCUCUUAAGACCGUGAAGGGCACAUGGGACCAUCUCCCGUUACACUCCCCCACAUCCAAGAGGAUCGAUUUCUGGGCUAGGGUUCACUCUCCCGGGCCUCUAAUGGCAGACGAAGCCGGAGCCAGUGGUAACACUAUACAUGCUGACGAGCGGCCGCCCAGGAGAGCGGAGGAGAGGGGAGAGGGAAGGGAGUGGUGAGCGGUGGAAGGAAGGGAAGGGGGCAGCGCGGAGAGCGGUGGAAGAUGAAAGCGGCCGGUACCCGGCACACUGGGGUUUAAAUUGACCUCGGCUCGAAGGUGGAGAGCACACGGGAGAAGAGAGCAGGGACGGGGGUAGAGUUGAGGAAAAAGGGAGAGCAAGACGGAGGAAGAGAAGGGCCCCUUCUUGAUCAACAGCUCUCUGAGACGGGAUCCAACAGCACAGAGAGCAGAUGGGACACAAACUUCACUACUUAAAGAAUGGGAAAAGUGGUCGGAGGAAAGCUCACGCAUGGCUGAACAGUGAGUGCGACCGACCUGUCAAAGGAGUGGAACUGCAUGGGCAGCAUGGGGUGCGUCUUCAGCGCCGGGUCGGGAUGGUAGGGCGUCGGCCCGGACUCCUGUCCCAAGUCCCCACCGUCAACGGGAGCCGCCACCAAGCUCUUCAGGAUCUCCUGCAUUAAAAAACAAAACAAAAAAACAGAUGCGGUGACAACAGUGCCGAGCCCGAGCCCCAGACCCAUCUCCGAGCCGUUCAGGGAUCCGGCCACGUGGCCCUCCUCCCCAAUGCCCGAGUCCGUGUGAGGGAGGCCUGCCCGGGGGGAGUCAUCCACAGGGGUGGGGGUCUGCUUGUCCCGAUCAGAAAAGCCCGUGGACGGGUGCUCUGCGGGAAAGAUGGAAGAAAUAGAAGAUGCCACGUGUGUUUUCGAGGAUAAACAGUGACAGAACAGUAUUUAUUUGUGUAAAAUGCCUUAAGAAUUUCAACUUCUCAAAGGAUGAAUUAUUUCCCAUUC
Mugil cephalus (flathead mullet) is the source of this 1132-nucleotide long non-coding RNA. RefSeq lists it as uncharacterized. Lineage: Eukaryota; Metazoa; Chordata; Actinopteri; Mugiliformes; Mugilidae. The transcript has 3 exons. The record is from RefSeq and is a predicted model, not a curated record.